CAGAUCUAGAGGAGGAGGCGGGACCGAUUGAUGAGUCCAUUCUGACAGAGCAGCAUCUACAUAGGUCUUCAUUUAUCGCGACUGAGGGAUAUCGUGGCGUUCAGUUCGUAGAGCAUGGCCGCAAAUUGAACCAGUGGGAUAUGGAUCAUCCAGCGGUGCUAGAUCUGCUACGACAUUCUGGAUUCUACGGCAUUUCUUGAUUUAGGCAUCUGCAGCUGGAUCAGGCUUUAUUAGGAGCUCUGGUCGAGAGAUGGCGACGGGAGACCCAGACUUUUCACUUCCGCCACGGUGAGAUGACGAUUACACUUCAAGAUGUGGCGGUUAUUUCAGGUCUUUGUGUUGAUGGAGCGCCUGUCACGGGGACUACACAGCAUCCGUGGAUAGAGAUUUGUCAGGAGCUUUUAGGGGUUGUGUCGGAUGGCAUCCGAGCUGGUCAGAUUCGAUUAGAUUGGAUAUACCAGCACUUCCACCAUAUACAUUUGGAUGCCACGGCUGGAUUAGUUGCAGCCACAGUCCGUGCAUAUAUGUUAUAUUAGAUUGGUUGUAGUCUGUUUCCAAACCCCUCCGGAUAUAGAGUUCAUCUUAAGUAGCUGCCACUUUUGGCGGAUUUUAAUGCAUGUGGUGGUUUAGCUUGGGGUGCAGCAGCAUUGGCCUACCUUUAUCGCGCAUUGGGAACGGCUUCAUUAAAGGAUAAGGUCGAAUGCUGUUGUUUCGCGACAUUAGUACAGAUUUGGGCGUGGGACCAUCUUCAUGUCGGCCGACCUACUAGCGUUGGAGCUAUUGCCGACAUGGCUGAUUGCCCUUUGGGUUGCCGGUGGAUGAACGCCGGCGGUUUACGUUUUGGGGCAAAUGUUAGGACGACCGAUAUUGAGUUCUAUAGAGAUGAGCUAGAUCAGCAGCGAGAGUCCAAGAUUACAUGGCGCCCGUACACAGAUGCUGUUAUAGAUGUGCUACCGGCAUUCUGUGUACAUGACAGUGCGGUAUGGCGAUCGCGGACGACGCUGAUUUGUUUUCAUAUCGGGGUGGCCAGAUGAGGAUUGGGCCCACUUUCAUUCUGCACACAUCGAGAGAUGGGGACAGCGAUUACAGGCUACUAUUGACCAACAUCCGAUUGUCGGUGAUGACCCGGUUCAGGCGACAUCGAUUUAUAUGGAGUGGUAUUGGCAGAUCACGAGAAGAUGGAUUUCUCGUCCAGUACAGCGUCCACCAUUGACUUACCAGCCUCGCGGCCAGAUCGAGAGAGCUUUGGUGGACGCAUUACGACAGGCUCAAAUGGGCAUCAGAGGGCUAGUUCAUGAUCGACCUUCUUACGAUGCGAUGGUAGAGACAUUGACGAGCAUGGAUGUCCAUAUUGAGUCAGUACUGGAGUACAUUCCUUCCAUACCUGUCGCCGCUGAUGUUGGAGGUCGAGAUUUUGGUCAACCCUCGACAUCGGGUCAUCACAGGAGACACUCACCGACAUCUACUGUAUCAUACUCGAGAUCGAGCCUACGAGUGUCACGAUCUCCAUCUCCUAGUGAUGUUGCAGAUAUACUCGCCGCCCCUUCAAGAUUUCCUUCCUUGCCAUUGGACUUGGACUCGCUUCCGCCGCCAGUUUCUCGAGAGCACUUUAGAUUAGUCUACUCUCGACGUCAUGCCGCGUCAUCAUCACAGGUCCGCCCAGCAUCUACACCGGCCACUAUCGAGGGUGAUCGACCUGAGUCAGAGGAGACUCAGGCGGUUCCGGAGCAUCCCGAGGGCAUUAUCAUUGCGGAUCUCGAUCAGAUGGCCGGUAUCGAGGCUCUUGAUGACGUACCUAUUGCUGAGCUUGAUGUACAGGGUGGCCGUAGACGUGGACGUGGCCGAGGACGUCGAGGGAGAGGAAGAUCGAGAGACUGAUUGUAUUUUUUUUAUUUA
This is an RNA transcript of Ananas comosus (pineapple), 1896 nucleotides long. RefSeq lists it as uncharacterized. NCBI's taxonomy places the organism in Eukaryota, Viridiplantae, Streptophyta, Magnoliopsida, Poales, Bromeliaceae. The transcript is spliced from 7 exons. The record is from RefSeq and is a predicted model, not a curated record.